Molecule: ribosomal RNA, 253 nt
Filed under: uncultured bacterium
Lineage: Bacteria
Description: partial 16S ribosomal RNA
Rfam family: Bacterial small subunit ribosomal RNA
Source: RNAcentral
UACGUAGGGGGCUAGCGUUGUCCGGAAUCAUUGGGCGUAAAGCGAGUGUAGGCGGUUUGGUAAGUCGGAUGUGAAAGCCCCGGGCUCAACCCGGGAAGUGCACUCGAUACUGCCAAGCUAGAGUAUCGGAGAGGUUGGUGGAAUUCUCGGUGUAGAGGUGAAAUUCGUAGAUAUCGAGAGGAACACCGGUGGCGAAGGCGGCCAACUGGACGAAUACUGACGCUGAGACUCGAAAGCGUGGGGAGCAAACAGG